Molecule: unclassified non-coding RNA, 304 nt
Filed under: Hevea brasiliensis (rubber tree)
Lineage: Eukaryota; Viridiplantae; Streptophyta; Magnoliopsida; Malpighiales; Euphorbiaceae
Source: RNAcentral
GCAGCUUGUGGUUGAUGUUGAUUAAGAAAGUACUGAUGUUGAUGAUUGAAUCCGGUAAGCUCCCUUGUAGUUUUUGGACCUGGAUCACCUGUAACAGACCCAACCCCACCCGGAGGUUGUGCUGGUGGUGGUGCGCCGCAGCUGAAAUUGCUUUCAUGGAAAACUAGCUGUGAAUUAAGCCCAUUCUCCACCCUUCGAGCUGAAACAAGUCCCAUUUCUUCAGAAGCCAUAAGCGAUGCUGAAUGAAGAAAAAAAAACCUAAAAACUGAACCAAAAAGACGCUAAUUUCUGAGAAUUUGAAGAA